GUCUACGGCCAUACCACCCUGAACGCGCCCGAUCUCGUCUGAUCUCGGAAGCUAAGCAGGGUCGGGCCUGGUUAGUACUUGGAUGGGAGAAAAAUUUCACAGAAGAACCAAGCCUUUGACU
Molecule: ribosomal RNA, 121 nt
Filed under: Mustela putorius furo (domestic ferret)
Lineage: Eukaryota; Metazoa; Chordata; Mammalia; Carnivora; Mustelidae
Source: RNAcentral